UAUUCUGCCCAGACGGGAAGGAUGAGAAGCUUCGACUAAGGUUCGAUACGAGCGUUAGCGAGAAAGCGUUGCCGCAGGCAACGACCCGAAGGGCGAAGCGCACCGCGCUGAGUAAUCCUUCCCCCACCACCA
RNAcentral lists this small RNA (132 nucleotides) under Citrobacter braakii. RNAcentral describes it as "RtT sRNA". It matches the Rfam family "RtT RNA". From Rfam's summary of the family: This family represents a bacterial cis-regulatory element known as RtT RNA. The exact function of RtT is unknown although it is thought that it may be involved in changing the cellular response in relation to amino acid starvation. The record is from RNAcentral. Lineage: Bacteria; Pseudomonadati; Pseudomonadota; Gammaproteobacteria; Enterobacterales; Enterobacteriaceae. RNAcentral also lists the same sequence under 1 other name.